Molecule: transfer RNA, 72 nt
Filed under: Thermofilum sp. ex4484_82
Lineage: Archaea; Thermoproteati; Thermoproteota; Thermoprotei; Thermofilales; Thermofilaceae
Also listed under: 2 other names
Description: tRNA-Ile
Rfam family: tRNA
About the family: Transfer RNA (tRNA) molecules are approximately 80 nucleotides in length.
Source: RNAcentral
GGGCCCGUGGCCUAGCGGUGGGGCGUCCGGCUGAUAACCGGAAGGUCGCGGGUUCGAAUCCCGCCGGGCCCA